AUGUCAGGUGAGGUCAAGGAAGACAGAUGUUGGGUGUUCGGCGGAGGCACCAAAUUGACUGUCCUAGGUCAGCCCAUAUCUCAACCUUCAGUCACCUUGUUUCCACCUUCUCCUGAGGAGCUCAAGACCAGCAAGGCCACACUGGUGUGUAUGAUCAAUGACUUUUACCCUGGUGAUUUGGCAGUGACCUGGAAAGCAGAUGGUACAACUAUCACCCAGGGUGUGGAGACAAGUAAACCUUCCAAACAGGGCAACAAGUACUUGGCUACCAGCUUCUUGACUUUGACAGAAGAUGCAUGGAAAUCUAAAAACAAAGUCAGCUGUGAGGUCACUCAUGAAAGGAUAAAAGUAGAGAAGAGUUUGUCCCCUACAAUGUGUUCCUAGGCCUUCCAAUAUUCAUCUUACCCAUAGAAACUGGGAUUAGAAUAAUGAACAAAUACUGCUCUUGCCUAUCAUAGCCCUUCUCCCUGCUCCUGAAAUGCAAAAUAAAAUAUCUGUUCUCAACCUGUAA
Non-coding RNA from Alexandromys fortis (reed vole), 511 nucleotides. NCBI's taxonomy places the organism in Eukaryota, Metazoa, Chordata, Mammalia, Rodentia, Cricetidae. The record is from the annotation of a RefSeq genome assembly.